CGGCCGCGUCGACGAAAUUCCUUGUCGGGUAAGUUCCGACCUGCACGAAUGGUGUAACGAUCCGGGCACUGUCUCGGGGAAGAACUCGGUGAAAUUGAAUUAUCAGUGAAGAUGCUGAUUACCCGCAACAGGACGGAAAGACCCCGUGAACCUUUACUAUAACUUGACAUUGAGUUUUGUUUUGUGAUGUGUAGAAUAGAUGGGAGGCUUUGAAGUGGGAGCGCCAGCUUUCAUGGAUCCAUCGUUGAAAUACCAUCCUUCGCAAAAUGGGAUUCUAACGAUUAGCCGUUAUCCGGCAGUCGGACAUUGUCAGGCGGGUAGUUUGACUGGGGCGGUCGCCUCCUAAAGAGUAACGGAGGCGUGCAAAGGUCACCUCAAACCGAAUAGAAAUCGGUAGUAGAGUAUAAAGGCAUAAGGUGG
RNAcentral lists this ribosomal RNA (420 nucleotides) under uncultured Brachyspira sp. RNAcentral describes it as "bacterial LSU rRNA". It matches the Rfam family "Bacterial large subunit ribosomal RNA", at positions 1946 to 2367 of the family's 2925-position model. The record is from RNAcentral. Lineage: Bacteria; Pseudomonadati; Spirochaetota; Spirochaetia; Brachyspirales; Brachyspiraceae.